Molecule: unclassified non-coding RNA, 374 nt
Filed under: soil metagenome
Description: partial contains internal transcribed spacer 2 and large subunit ribosomal RNA
Rfam family: 5.8S ribosomal RNA (bases 1-120)
Source: RNAcentral
GAUGAAGAACGUAGUGAAAUGCGAUAAUUAAUGUGAAUUGCAGAAUUCCGUGAAUCAUCGAGUCUUUGAACGCACAUUGCGCCUCAUGGCAUUCCGUGAGGCAUGCCCAUCUCAGCGUUAGAAAAUAUUCUCAAAUUUUAGUUUUGUGCUAAAAUUUGGAUCAUGUCAAGGAAGCUAUUACUAUUAUUGUGAUCGCUCUUUGGAAAUUGAUAGGUCUUUGAGUUGCUACUCAUAGAACGUGAUGAAUCUUUCUUCGUUCUAUUGUAAUUCACUCUGGUAGUCCUAAAACUUGUAUGCCUGUGGCAUAUCUUGUAAUUUGACCUGAGAUUGGGUAGGGAUACCCGCUGAACUUAAGCAUAUCAAUAAGCGGAAGA